UUGACAGGUUUCACUUUGUUUAAUCAGAUAUCAAUCAUAAAAACACUUCGAAUCACAAAAAUAAUUUAUUUGAAUUAAAAAAAAAAAAAAGAACAUUAGAGUGUACACCAAUUCACAGACCUUGAUCAUGGAGCUUCUGAUUGACAUGUUAUACACAAAUAGAAUGCAAUUCAUUUAGCACUGACCACUAUACAAAUAAUUAAAAAAAUUUAAUCAUUACAACAAAAGAGAUUUCAAAUGGGAUAAGGACAUUUACCCCAGUUUAGCUGAAUGUAUGUGCUCUUUAGCAUACAAAGAGGCUUGAUGACUAGGUUUAGGAUAACAUUGCAUGUUUGCUUGUGUGUUUGAAAAAUAGAACAUCUCGUCUUUAAAGGAACAAAUUAAAAUCAUACAUAAAUGCAAAGAAGAUCAAAAAGAUGCAGUAUGUCUGUCACAGUAGGGGGAAAAUAAAAAAAGAAUAAUGCUUUAUGUUAACAAAACAUGUGGUUACUUUUCAAAGUGGAAAUACAUCUGAAAAAUAGAAAGAAUCAAGAAAUUCUGAACUUGAUCCAGCUUUUUCUGUUCAUAACAAUUGAGUUUUUUACUUGAGACUUUUUACAAGCAGCACACAAACACAUUUCAAUGUGGUAUUUGUAAAAAAAAAAAAAAAAAAG
Molecule: non-coding RNA, 653 nt
Organism: Biomphalaria pfeifferi
Lineage: Eukaryota; Metazoa; Mollusca; Gastropoda; Planorbidae
Source: the annotation of a GenBank genome assembly